UGGCUGUAUUUUUUCUUUUUUUCAUUUUCUAUUCUUUUUUUAGGGAGGGCACCUGGAGCACCCUGUCUGAAUCUGCACCUGGUGUCAUUUCAGAUAAAGACAUCACAAUUGAGGUUUUUUGGUCAUCUCCACCUACCCCCACGGGGAAGCCCACUCCUGCCCUGUCAAAUUUCACCUCAUAUUUAGUAAGAAACAUUAAACACCAAAGCUGAACUAAUUAUAGGCAUAAGGGACUAGACUAAGCUGAUUUUGGUGAAGCAACAGUUCAUAUUCGCCCCUCUCUUCUUGAUUUGCAUGUAGCAUUUGCCACUGGACAUUAAACACCAAUCAUCAAAAAAAUCAACACCUGAAUCUAGG
This 357-nucleotide long non-coding RNA is filed under the name Mytilus galloprovincialis (Mediterranean mussel). The record is from RNAcentral. Lineage: Eukaryota; Metazoa; Mollusca; Bivalvia; Mytilida; Mytilidae.